CAAUCAACAAGUUUGAUUAAUGACAGCAUGAGUGUGGUAUCCACGGGAGGACCUCAGAGAGCUGCAUUAAUUUUGCUUACUGAUAGAACUCAUGUGGUUUCGGUAUAUAGACCAAAAGGCAAGAGAAGGAUUACAUAACUGACAAAAUUACAGUCUAUAUAGUGUGUUGAAUGUAAUUUUGUAUAACUUGGAAUUACUCCACUUUGUAAUAUAUAGACAAAAAAAAAUUACAUGUGCUAGCACUUUCCCGAAUGUUUUCCUUUCCAAUGCAUAUUUGGUUGCCUCAUCCAAAGCUCUUUGAGCUAAUCCAGUGGCU
This is a long non-coding RNA of Erpetoichthys calabaricus (reedfish), 316 nucleotides long. RefSeq lists it as uncharacterized. The transcript has 2 exons. NCBI's taxonomy places the organism in Eukaryota, Metazoa, Chordata, Cladistia, Polypteriformes, Polypteridae. The record is from RefSeq and is a predicted model, not a curated record.